AGAGAAACAAGCGGAGUUAACCGAAGAGGGGGUCGGGGAGAGCCGGAGUCGGGGACCCAGGAGUUUCCUGUGUCCAGCGCUGCCGGAGCCGCCUGAGGUGCCAUGUUUCAGAACAGAGUAAGACCCCUGGUAAAGAAGAACUGAAGAUAUUAUACAGAUACCAGAUAUAGCCUAAUUACAAAGAAAGCAUUAACCUGCCUCUGAGGUGACUAAAGGGGAAUAAUGGUGAUUUUGCGCCGGGCUCGGCCGCCUGCUUCCGCCCCAACCAGCAAUGAAUCUUGACUCGCUCUCGCUGGCCUUGUCUCAAAUCAGCUACCUGGUGGACAAUUUAACCAAGAAAAAUUACCGAGCCAGCCAGCAGGAAAUACAGCAUGUAAGUAAACUAGCCAGAAAACAAGUGCCAUUAAAGGAAUGAGUAGACAGUGGAAGGAAAACCACACAUUUAUGUGGGCAUGUUGCAUGAAAGGUAACUAACUUUUGCCCCUUAUUUCAAGUGAUUUCUGUCAUCAUCAUCUGUAAAAGAGCUCUUAGCCCAAUCUUUUUUUUUUUUUUUUUUUUUUUUGAGACAGAGUCUUACUCUGUCGUCCAGGCUGGAGUGCAGUG
RNAcentral lists this small RNA (603 nucleotides) under Pongo abelii (Sumatran orangutan). Its description in RNAcentral is "retained intron". Lineage: Eukaryota; Metazoa; Chordata; Mammalia; Primates; Hominidae. The record is from RNAcentral.